AGAGUUCCCUGAGGUUUUUAACUGCCAAAAAACCCUCCUGGUCUCCGCCACCUGCCUAUUACAUUUUUUUUUUUUAUUUUCCAGACUAAGUACCCCUCUAAAGGGCUUAAUGGAUGCCAAAAAGUCAAAAAAAGGAAAAAGAAGCUCAUCCGUCUCAGAAAAAACCAGGCAUCCGCAAUCACUACUAGAGCCUUCCCAAACAUCCUCUCAAUCCCACGAGCACCUCUCCAUGAAGUAUUAAAAGAAUCAGCAAGAUUUUACUAUUCUCUGGCAGCUACCUACGAACUUAGUGCGAAAAACAUUGCAGAAGCGAUAGCAAACGCUAAAGAAAAGGGCGAUGAAUUCAUGAGCAAAGCGUAUGAGGUGGAACAGAAAUACUUAGCAAGAACUACAAAGUAAAUCGUCCAAACUACAAACUGAAGGGAAAUACUUAGCAAUAAUUAAAACAGUAAAUCGUCCAAACUACUAACAGAA
This is a non-coding RNA of Bemisia tabaci, 474 nucleotides long. The record is from RefSeq and is a predicted model, not a curated record. NCBI's taxonomy places the organism in Eukaryota, Metazoa, Arthropoda, Insecta, Hemiptera, Aleyrodidae.